Molecule: ribosomal RNA, 441 nt
Filed under: Sulfitobacter sp. TJD639
Lineage: Bacteria; Pseudomonadati; Pseudomonadota; Alphaproteobacteria; Rhodobacterales; Roseobacteraceae
Description: bacterial SSU rRNA
Rfam family: Bacterial small subunit ribosomal RNA
Source: RNAcentral
AGAGUUUUGGAUUCCCNGCUCAGAACGAACGCUGGCGGCAGGCCUAACACAUGCAAGUCGAGCGCACCUUCGGGUGAGCGGCGGACGGGUUAGUAACGCGUGGGAACAUACCCUUUUCUACGGAAUAGCCUCGGGAAACUGAGAGUAAUACCGUAUAAGCCCUUCGGGGGAAAGAUUUAUCGGGAAAGGAUUGGCCCGCGUUAGAUUAGAUAGUUGGUGGGGUAAUGGCCUACCAAGUCUACGAUCUAUAGCUGGUUUUAGAGGAUGAUCAGCAACACUGGGACUGAGACACGGCCCAGACUCCUACGGGAGGCAGCAGUGGGGAAUCUUAGACAAUGGGCGCAAGCCUGAUCUAGCCAUGCCGCGUGUGUGAUGAAGGUCUUAGGAUCGUAAAGCACUUUCGCCAGGGAUGAUAAUGACANACCUGNAAAGAACCCCGNA